Molecule: long non-coding RNA, 592 nt
Filed under: Ananas comosus (pineapple)
Lineage: Eukaryota; Viridiplantae; Streptophyta; Magnoliopsida; Poales; Bromeliaceae
Description: long non-coding RNA (ACOM_LNC029041)
Source: RNAcentral
UAUAUUAAAAUUUAUUAGCUAUAAGCCAAAAAAAAACUAUGCUUCUAUUUGUUAAAUAUAAAAAUAUAUAAACACCAUUGUUUAACGGUUUAAGUUUUUAGACAGUCCCUAGAGCAAGUGGCAAAGGAUUUGUUGGUUGGUAACCGAGACCCAAGUUCGGAUCCUAAUUGAUUCACAUUUCCAGCUAAGUUUAUUUCUAAAUGAAAUAAACAAAGCGGGUAGCGUGCUAUCUAUCUCUCAAAAAAAAAAAAAAAGUUUUUAGAAUACAGAUGUUGUUUCACAUGAGGUCUUGAGUUCGAGUCGCGUCAGGCUCCAAGCUAGCAUUAUUAAUUUUCUCUCAUUUAAUUUAAGUAGUUUUUGUUUCACACCAUUCGAGGAGGAAGUCUAUAAUGUCACACUUGCACCGCAUCAUCAGUAAAACAGCCAAUCAUAUCUCUCUUUUUAAAAGAAAAGUGCAAUAAAAUAUUUUUCUAUUAAUUAUGAUGGAACGGAUAAAUGCAAGAGGGACAAUUCUAUUAAUUGAAAAUACCAUAUCAGCAAUAUAACUGGUGCAUUCUAAAAUUUUUCCAGUUCCAGGUCCCACACACAAUUU